GAUGAACGCUGGCGGCGUGCAUAACACAUUCAAGUCGAACGGUCUUUUCUAUGGAAGCUUGCUUCCACUGGGAAGAUAGUGGCGGACGGGUGAGUAACACGUGGGUAACCUACCCAUCAGCGGGGGAUAACACUUGGAAACAGGUGCUAAUACCGCAUAAUUCUUUCUUCGCCUGAAGGGAGAUGAAAGCGCUUUUGCGUCACUGAUGGAUGGACCCGNGCUGCAUUAGCUAGUUGGUGGGUAACGCU
Molecule: ribosomal RNA, 248 nt
Filed under: uncultured bacterium
Lineage: Bacteria
Description: partial 16S ribosomal RNA
Rfam family: Bacterial small subunit ribosomal RNA
Source: RNAcentral